CAGACACUAACCAUGCUGUAGUGUGUGUAAACAUCCUACACUCUCAGCUGUGAGCUAAAAGUGGCUGGGAGAGGGUUGUUUACUCCUUCUGCCAUGGAAAACUUC
RNAcentral lists this microRNA precursor (105 nucleotides) under Procavia capensis (Cape rock hyrax). Its description in RNAcentral is "microRNA 30c-1 (ENSPCAG00000019951.1)". The stretch from base 18 to 92 matches the Rfam family "mir-30 microRNA precursor family". Rfam says of the family: This family consists of the mammalian microRNA (miRNA) precursor mir-30a. Animal miRNAs are transcribed as ~70nt precursors and subsequently processed by the Dicer enzyme to give a ~22nt product. Lineage: Eukaryota; Metazoa; Chordata; Mammalia; Hyracoidea; Procaviidae. The record is from RNAcentral.